Molecule: long non-coding RNA, 294 nt
Filed under: Fukomys damarensis (Damara mole-rat)
Lineage: Eukaryota; Metazoa; Chordata; Mammalia; Rodentia; Bathyergidae
Description: lncRNA (ENSFDAG00000023972.1)
Source: RNAcentral
CAGAUACCGUCACCAGUGGUCUGCCAAGUGAGACAGCUCUCCUCGCCGGGUUGGAACAGGAGCAUCACAGCUGUAGCUCCAGCAAUUUCUUGAACGGUGAUAUGAUUUUGGGAUCUGAAGCCUAUGUCAGAGCAAUAAGAGAAAUAGCACUUAGAUCCUAGGCAACUAUCACAUGACCCUACAGCACAUCUUCAGUAAAGGACCAGACCUGGAGAAGCUGACCUAGUUGCAGGUGCCUCCAGCCAGAAGAACAUGAAUUGCGGCCAGGCAUGAGGUGCCUGGAUUAAACCAUAC